AAGUAAACAAGCUGCCUGAGGACUGGAUACUAUUGAAUUCAAUGGAGCAGAGUCUCUACUUUGGAUGCUGGCAUCAGAUUUGAGGGAAUCAAGAUUGGAAAAGUUGCGAAUACGUGUGCGUGAAUGAUAAGAAACCACACACACACAGACACCUGUGUUUACAGCCACAGGAAUUGAAUUGUGAGAAUAAAAUGCCUCAAACCAAACAUCAAGCUCCUUCUUCCAU
This is a long non-coding RNA of Oreochromis aureus, 226 nucleotides long. RefSeq lists it as uncharacterized. The record is from RefSeq and is a predicted model, not a curated record. The transcript has 3 exons. Lineage: Eukaryota; Metazoa; Chordata; Actinopteri; Cichliformes; Cichlidae.